AUACGUAGGGUGCAAGCGUUAAUCGGAAUUACUGGGCGUAAAGCGUGCGCAGGCGGUUUUGUAAGACAGUGGUGAAAUCCCCGGGCUCAACCUGGGAACUGCCUUUGUGACUGCAAGGCUAGAGUACGGCAGAGGGGGGUGGAAUUCCGCGUGUAGCAGUGAAAUGCGUAGAUAUGCGGAGGAACACCGAUGGCGAAGGCAAUCCCCUGGGCCUGUACUGACGCUCAUGCACGAAAGCGUGGGGAGCAAACAGGAUUAGAUACCCUGGUAGUCCACGCCCUAAACGAUGUCAACUGGUUGUUGGGGAUUUAUUUUCUCAGUAACGAAGCUAACGCGUGAAGUUGACCGCCUGGGGAGUACGGCCGCAAGGUUAAAACUCAAAUGAAUUGACGGGG
Molecule: ribosomal RNA, 395 nt
Filed under: uncultured bacterium
Lineage: Bacteria
Description: partial 16S ribosomal RNA
Rfam family: Bacterial small subunit ribosomal RNA
Source: RNAcentral